UACAGCGGUCUCAAGCGUUGUUCGGAUUCAUUGGGCGUAAAGGGUGCGUAGGUGGCGCUGUAAGUCGGGUGUGAAAUUUCGGAGCUUAACUCCGAAACUGCAUUCGAUACUGAGGUGCUUGAGGACUGGAGAGGAGACUGGAAUUCAUGGUGUAGCAGUGAAAUGCGUAGAGAUCAUGAGGAAGACCAGUGGCGAAGGCGGGUCUCUGGACAGUUCCUGACACUGAGGCACGAAGGCCAGGGGAGCAAACGGG
RNAcentral lists this ribosomal RNA (253 nucleotides) under uncultured bacterium. RNAcentral describes it as "partial 16S ribosomal RNA". It matches the Rfam family "Bacterial small subunit ribosomal RNA", at positions 524 to 776 of the family's 1533-position model. The record is from RNAcentral.